AUUGAACGCUGGCGGAAUGCUUUACACAUGCAAGUCGAACGGUAGAGGGGGCAACCCCUUGAGAGUGGCGAACGGGUGAGUAACGCGUAUGCAAUCUACCUUGUACAGGGGGAUAGCCCAGAGAAAUUUUGGAUUAAUACCCCCAUAGUGUAAUGAAAUGGCAUCAUUUUAUUACUAAAGUUCCAACGGUACAAGAUGAGCAUGCGUCCCAUUAGCUAGUUGGUGUGGUAACGGCAUACCAAGGCAACGAUGGGUAGGGGUCCUGAGAGGGAGAUCCCCCACACUGGUACUGAGACACGGACCAGACUCCUACGGGAGGCAGCAGUGAGGAAUAUUGGUCAAUGGGCGCAAGCCUGAACCNGCCAUGCCGCGUGCAGGAUGA
Molecule: ribosomal RNA, 382 nt
Filed under: uncultured bacterium
Lineage: Bacteria
Description: bacterial SSU rRNA
Rfam family: Bacterial small subunit ribosomal RNA
Source: RNAcentral